UACGUAGGGUGCGAGCGUUGCCCGGAUUUAUUGGGCGUAAAGAGCUCGUAGGCGGCUCGUUGCGUCGGCUGUGAAAACCCGCAGCUCAACUGUGGGCUUGCAGCCGAUACGGGCGGGCUAGGAUUCGGUAGGGGAGACUGGAGUUCCUGGUGUAGCGGUGAAAUGCGCAGAUAUCAGGAGGAACACCGGUGGCGAAGGCGGGUCUCUGGGCCGAUAUCGACGCUGAGGAGCGAAAGCGUGGGGAGCGAACAGG
Molecule: ribosomal RNA, 253 nt
Filed under: uncultured bacterium
Lineage: Bacteria
Description: partial 16S ribosomal RNA
Rfam family: Bacterial small subunit ribosomal RNA
Source: RNAcentral